UAGGGAAUCUUCCGCAAUGGACGCAAGUCUGACGGAGCAACGCCGCGUGAGUGAAGAAGGUUUUCAGAUCGUAAAACUCUGUUGUUAGAGAAGAACAAGUGCUAGAGUAACUGUUAGCGCCUUGACGGUAUCUAACCAGAAAGCCACGGCUAACUACGUGCCAGCAGCCGCGGUAAUACGUAAGUGGCAAGCGUUGUCCGGAUUUAUUGGGCGUAAAGCGAGCGCAGGCGGUUCCUUAAGUCUGAUGUGAAAGCCCCCGGCUCAACCGGGGAGGGUCAUUGGAAACUGGGGAACUUGAGUGCAGAAGAGGAGAGUGGAAUUCCAUGUGUAGCGGUGAAAUGCGUAGAUAUAUGGAGGAACACCAGUGGCGAAGGCGACUCUCUGGUCUGUAACUGACGCUGAGGCUCGAAAGCGUGGGUAGCAAACAGGAUUAGAUACCCUGGUAGUCCACGCCGUAAACGAUGAGUGCUAAGUGUUGGAGGGUUUCCGCCCUUCAGUGCUGCAGUUAACGCAUUAAGCACUCCGCCUGGGGAGUACGACCGCAAGGUUG
Molecule: ribosomal RNA, 550 nt
Filed under: uncultured bacterium
Lineage: Bacteria
Description: bacterial SSU rRNA
Rfam family: Bacterial small subunit ribosomal RNA
Source: RNAcentral